CUUCUCUUCAGUAUUGUACCUCUCUUCAAUCCCUUGAUCUCUCUGGUAACUCCCUUUCCGGUUCACUCCCGGUUCAACUCUGUUCUUGGUUGCCUUAUCUUGUUAAUCUUGAUUUAUCUGGUAAUUCUUUCUCCGGUUCCAUACCUCCUGAGUUUAUUAACUGCAAAUUCUUGAACACCCUUUUGCUAAAUGACAAUAAACUUACUGGUUCGGUCCCGUUUGAGAUUGGCCGGCCUCUUUCUCUGGUUCCAUACCUCCUGAGUUUAUUUACUGCAAAUUCUUGAAUACCCUUUUGCUAAAUGACAAUAAACUUACUGGUUCGAUCCCUUUUGAGAUUGGCCGGCUUGACCGGUUGAAACGGUUCAGUGUGUCAAACAAUGGUCUUACAGGUCCGGUUCC
This 399-nucleotide long non-coding RNA is filed under the name Nicotiana benthamiana. RNAcentral's name for it is "long non-coding RNA (NBEN_LNC037029)". The record is from RNAcentral. Lineage: Eukaryota; Viridiplantae; Streptophyta; Magnoliopsida; Solanales; Solanaceae.